Molecule: long non-coding RNA, 744 nt
Organism: Chinchilla lanigera (long-tailed chinchilla)
Lineage: Eukaryota; Metazoa; Chordata; Mammalia; Rodentia; Chinchillidae
Exons: 2
Source: RefSeq, a predicted model, not a curated record
CUCUGCCCAUUUCACAGGUGAGGAAACCAAAUCUGUGUUAGUCCACAGUCAGAAGUGGACUUGCCCAAGACCGCUCUCCGGAUAUAAAGCGGAGACAAAGAACGGGCGAUUUGACUCCACCGCUCCUAAGCCCUUGAGCACCAUCAAAGGUCAACUUUCCGACCCCAACACAGGACAAGAGCGGCUGCACCCACGCGGAGGUGCUUCAGAACUCCGCUUCUCGCUGGGUGGGCAAGACAGGAAAUCAUUAACCAGGGACGCGAGGCCCGAGGAGGCAGAGACUGGAACAAGGUCACGUAGUUGCUGCCAGGUUGGGGGCGGACUCCUGAAUCCCGCGGGACCACUGUGGGCGCCAGAACCGGAGUCCACUGGCUCAGAGGCGGGGGUGCUCAGCCCGCCGAGGUCAGGCCUACGAGCAGGUCCGCAGGGCCCCGGGUGCUAGCCGCGACGCCAAGGCUGAAGGACUCUUCAGCUACGCCAAGAUCGCCACCACUGAUGCCUGGGUCAUCAAAAGGAUGCCAGAGAUGAGAUCACAGCAGAAGUUGCCUCUUUGGAACUAAAGCACAUCGGGAAUGGCAGCUGGCAAGAAUGAAACUCAUGAGGAGUGCAGAACCUCCUGGUAGGAUGAGCUUAGCCUGUGGACUCCCACACUAAGAAGCCUGGCGUGGGAUUACAAAUCCAAGGCCAAUCUGGGCAACUCAGGGAAACCCUGUCUCAGAAUAAAAUUAAAAAUGCUAGAGUUCA